This 468-nucleotide ribosomal RNA is filed under the name uncultured bacterium. RNAcentral's name for it is "partial 16S ribosomal RNA". It matches the Rfam family "Bacterial small subunit ribosomal RNA", at positions 28 to 507 of the family's 1533-position model. The record is from RNAcentral.
GGCGAACGCUGGCGGCGUGCUUAACACAUGCAAGUCGAACGGAAAGGCCCUGCUUUUGUGGGGUGCUCGAGUGGCGAACGGGUGAGUAACACGUGAGUAACCUGCCCUUGACUUUGGGAUAACUUCAGGAAACUGGGGCUAAUACCGGAUAGGAGCUCCUGCUGCAUGGUGGGGGUUGGAAAGUUACGGCGGUUGGGGAUGGACUCGCGGCUUAUCAGCUUGUUGGUGGGGUAGUGGCUUACCAAGGCUUUGACGGGUAGCCGGCCUGAGAGGGUGACCGGCCACAUUGGGACUGAGAUACGGCCCAGACUCCUACGGGAGGCAGCAGUGGGGAAUAUUGCACAAUGGGCGGAAGCCUGAUGCAGCAACGCCGCGUGCGGGAUGACGGCCUUCGGGUUGUAAACCGCUUUCGCCUGUGACGAAGCGUGAGUGACGGUAAUGGGUAAAGAAGCACCGGCUAACUACGUG